CUGGGGGGCCUAACCAUGCAAGUCGAGCGGAUGAAGGGAGCUUGCGUCCUGGAUUCGGCGGCGGACGGGUGAGUAAUGCCUAGGAAUCUGCCUGAUAGUGGGGGAUAACGUCCGGAAACGGGCGCUAAUACCGCAUACGUCCUGAGGGAGAAAGUGGGGGAUCUUCGGACCUCACGCUAUCAGAUGAGCCUAGGUCGGAUUAACUAGUUGGUGGGGUAAAGGCCUACCAAGGCGACGAUCCGUAACUGGUCUGAGAGGAUGAUCAAUCACACUGGAACUGAGACACGGUCCAGACUCCUACGGGAGGCAGCAGUGGGGAAUAUUGGACAAUGGGCGAAAGCCUGAUCCAGCCAUGCCGCGUGUGUGAAGAAGGUCUUCGGAUUGUAAAGCACUUUAAUUUGGGAGGAAGGGCAGUAAGUUAAUACCUUGCUGUUUUGACGUUACCAACAGAAUAAGCACCGGCUAACUUCGUGCCAGCAGCCGCGGUAAUACAAAGGGUGCAAGCGUUAAUCGGAAUUACUGGGCGUAAAGCGCGCGUAGGUGGUUCAUCAAGUUGGAUGUGAAAUCCCCGGGCUCAACCUGGGAACUGCAUCCAAAACUACUGAGCUAGAGUACGGUAGAGGGUGGUGGAAUUUCCUGUGUAGCGGUGAAAUGCGUAGAUAUAGGAAGGAACACCAGUGGCGAAGGCGACCACCUGGACUGAUACUGACACUGAGGUGCGAAAGCGUGGGGAGCAAACAGGAUUAGAUACCCUGGUAGUCCACGCCGUAAACGAUGUCGACUAGCCGUUGGGAUCCUUGAUAUCUUAGUGGCGCAGCUAACGCGAUAAGUCGACCGCCUGGGGAGUACGGCCGCAAGGUUAAUACUCAAAUGAAUUGACGGGGGCCCGCACAAGCGGUGGAGCAUGUGGUUUAUUUCUAAGCAACGCGAAGAACCUUACCUGGCCUUGACAUGCUGAGAACUAUCCACAGAUGGAUUGGUGCCUUCGGGAACUCAGACACAGGUGCUGCAUGGCUGUCGUCACCUCCUGUCGUGAAAUGUUGGGUUAAUUCCCGUUACCAACCGCCACCCCUUGUUCUUGUUACCCACCCGGGGGGGCCCCUCCAAGGAAAAUGCCGGGUGCAAACCCGGAAGGAAAGGGGGGGGGAACUCAAACCUCCCUGGGCCCCCUUCCCGCCCGGGCGCCCCCCCCCUGCUUAAAAGGGGUUGUAAAAAAAAGGGUUGCCCACCCCCCCCGGGGGGGGGAGACAAAACCCAAAAAAAAAAAAUAUUUCCCCAAUCCUUUCCCCCCCCCCCCCC
RNAcentral lists this ribosomal RNA (1299 nucleotides) under Pseudomonas aeruginosa. Its description in RNAcentral is "partial 16S ribosomal RNA". It matches the Rfam family "Bacterial small subunit ribosomal RNA", at positions 39 to 1311 of the family's 1533-position model. The record is from RNAcentral. Lineage: Bacteria; Pseudomonadati; Pseudomonadota; Gammaproteobacteria; Pseudomonadales; Pseudomonadaceae.